Molecule: ribosomal RNA, 2797 nt
Filed under: human gut metagenome
Description: bacterial LSU rRNA
Rfam family: Bacterial large subunit ribosomal RNA
Source: RNAcentral
AGGGCGCAUGAAGGAUGCCUUGGCUCUCGGAGGCGAAGAAGGACGUGACAAGCUGCGAAAAGCCGCGGAGAGGGGCAAAUACCCUGAGAUCCGCGGAUGUCCGAAUGGGGCAACCCGGCACGUAAAGCGUGCCGUUCCGCUAAGCGGGACGCCAACCCGGGGAACUGAAACAUCUCAUUACCCGGAGGAAAAGAAAACAACAGUGAUUGCGCUAGUAGCGGCGAGCGAACGCGCAGGAGCCCAAACCGGGGCUGUGGCAACGCAGCGCCGGGGUAGAAGGACCGAACGACAAAGUCAAGAGCGACGGAUAGCAGAACGCCCCUGGAAAGGGCGGCCGCAGAGGGUGAAAGCCCCGUAAGCGAAAUCCGGGACAAAGACGAGUUCGGCACCUGAGUAAGGCGGGACACGAGAAAUCCUGCCCGAAUCUGCGGGGACCAUCCCGUAAGGCUAAAUACUACCGAGAGACCGAUAGCGAACCAGUACCGUGAGGGAAAGGUGAAAAGAACCCCGAACAGGGGAGUGAAAAAGACCCUGAAAUCAUGCGCCUACAAGCGGUCGGAGCGGUGCAAUACCGUGACGGCGUGCCUUUUGCAUAAUGAGCCUACGAGUUGCCCUCACCGGCGAGGCUAAGUGCCUAUAGGCACGUACCCGGAGCGAAAGCGAGUCAGAACAUGGCGAUAAGUCAGUGGGGGCAGACGCGAAACCAAGUGAUCUACCCUUGGGCAGGAUGAAGGACGGGUAACACCGUCUGGAGGUCCGAACCGGUAAGCGUUGAAAAGCUUUCGGAUGACCUGAUGGUAGGAGUGAAAGGCCAAUCAAACUUGGAGAUAGCUCGUACUCCCCGAAAUGCAUUUAGGUGCAGCCCCGGGCGCAAUUGCGCGGAGGUAGAGCGACUGACAGGAUGCGAGGGCUUCGCCGCCUAUCAAGUCCUGACAAACUCCGAAUGCCGCGCAACGUUCCCCGGGAGUGAGGGCGCGGGUGCUAAGGUCCGCGUCCGAGAGAGGAACAACUCAGACCACCGGCUAAGGCCCCCAAGGGGCGACUAAGUUGAAGACAAUAACGAAGUGGGAUCGCACGGACAGCUAGGAUGUUGGCUUGGAAGCAGCCAUUCAUUUAAAGAGUGCGUAACAGCUCACUAGUCGAGCGAUCCCGCGUGGAUAAUAAUCGGGCAUCAAGUCGUCCGCCGAAGCCGUGGAAUAUUAUCAGAAGAUGAUAUUGGUAGGGGAGCAUUCCGGCAGCCGUAGAAUCCGAGGCGUGAGCCUUGGUGGAGGUACCGGAAAAGCAAAUGUAGGCAUAAGUAACGAUAAUGGGGGCGAGAAACCCCCACGCCGGAAGGCCAAGGGUUCCUGAUCAACGCUAAUCGGAUCAGGGUAAGUCGGGACCUAAGAGGGAGCCGCGAGGCGUACUCGAUGGACAAACGGUAAAGAUUCCGUUACCCGGCGCAGGAGUGAAGUGGCGACGGAGAAGUGACACGCCCGCGUGCUGACGGAAAAGCACGUUAAACCGCGUAGGUAAACUUAGGGGAGGCAAAUCCCUCCUGAGUGCUGAAACGGGAAAGUACACCGAGCCCUACGGGGCGAGGUGAUAGCGGCGGUAAUCAGGCUUCCGAGAAAACCCGCUAAACAUAUGCUGCGUCGGCCCGUACCGCAAACCGACACAGGUGGCCGGGUAGAAAAUACUGAGGCGCUCGAGAGAUUCACGGUUAAGGAACUAGGCAAAUUGACCCCGUAACUUCGGGACAAGGGGUCCCCUCCUCCGGGAGGGGCGCAGAGAAUAGGUCCAGGCAACUGUUUAACAAAAACACAGGGCUGUGCGAAAUCGAAAGAUGAUGUAUACAGUCUGACACCUGCCCGGUGCCGGAAGGUUAAGAGGAGAUGUCACCGCAAGGGAAGCAUUGAAUUGAAGCCCCGGUAAACGGCGGCCGUAACUAUAACGGUCCUAAGGUAGCGAAAUUCCUUGUCGGGUAAGUUCCGACCUGCACGAAUGGUGUAAUGAUCCGGACGCUGUCUCAACCAUGAGCUCAGUGAAAUUGUAGUAUCGGUGAAGAUGCCGAUUACCCGCGAUGGGACGAAAAGACCCCGUGAACCUUUACUGCAGCUUAACGUUGUGACCGGGCAGCGGAUGUGUAGGAUAGGCCGGAGGCUAUGAAGGGGGCACGCCAGUGUUCUUGGAGCCGCCGUUGAAAUACGGCCCUUCCUCUGUCUGGUUCCUAACCCGCUUGAUGCGGGGACACCGUUUGGCGGGCAGUUUGACUGGGGUGGUCGCCUCCAAAAGCGUAACGGAGGCUUCUAAAGGUGCCCUCAGGCCGAUUGGUAACCGGCCGCAGAGUGUAAUGGCAAAAGGGCGCUUGACUGGGAGGCCGACAAGCCGAUCAGGUGGGAAACCAGAGCAUAGUGAUCCGGUGGUUCCGUAUGGAAGGGCCAUCGCUCAAAGGAUAAAAGGUACUCCGGGGAUAACAGGCUGAUCCCUCCCAAGAGCUCAUAUCGACGGAGUGGUUUGGCACCUCGAUGUCGGCUCGUCACAUCCCGGGGCUGGAGAAGGUCCCAAGGGUUAGGCUGUUCGCCUAUUAAAGUGGCACGCGAGCUGGGUUCAGAACGUCGCGAGACAGUUCGGUCCCUAUCUGUUGAGGGCGUUGGAAAUUUGAGGGGUUCUGACUCUAGUACGAGAGGACCGAGUUGGACAAACCUCUAGUGUACCGGUUGUAGCGCCAGCGGCAUAGCCGGGUAGCUAAGUUUGGCAGGGAUAAGUGCUGAAAGCAUCUAAGUACGAAACCCACCUCGAGAUGAGAUUUCCUUAU